AAGAAAUGCAACCAAAACCAAUGUACAACCUACUACAUUAAAACAGAAACUGUGCCAUUUGCUUAACCCACAAUCUUUCCACAACCAUAUCAUGAAGCAGUUUUACACUCAAAGUGUUUGCACAACUAUUUAAAACCAUCCACAUGCUAUGAAUUUGUUCUUGUUAGCUCUACCCCAUUCUCUUUUAGCAUCAUUGGAAUAAUAUCUCAUAAUUGGGAUAAUAUCAACAAUGCAGCACCGCCAUAUACGAAACUGAAACCUUGAUAAAUGAAAUGAAAUAUUGAACUGAAAUUGCAUUAUGCUCAAUUAUGA
This 312-nucleotide long non-coding RNA is filed under the name Gossypium raimondii (Peruvian cotton). Its description in RNAcentral is "long non-coding RNA (GRAI_LNC008102)". The record is from RNAcentral. Lineage: Eukaryota; Viridiplantae; Streptophyta; Magnoliopsida; Malvales; Malvaceae.